Molecule: long non-coding RNA, 482 nt
Filed under: Mus musculus (house mouse)
Lineage: Eukaryota; Metazoa; Chordata; Mammalia; Rodentia; Muridae
Description: Hand2, opposite strand 1
Source: RNAcentral
CCCUAACAGAGAUUGCGAAGAUUUUCAAAGUGGGGCACCUCGAUUUCUCGAAUCUGUGGUGUGGCGAAUAUCCGUGUUCCUCCUGCUUAACUAGCCUGUUUGCAAAACAAAUGCAAUGGCGGGGGGCAGGAAUAACUAAUCUAAUACAGGUCUGGUAUUUCAUGAUUUGAGCAGUACUAUGCUAGACUGAGAUGUCAUUCAAAUUCCUGCCAUUUCUCUAACUUGUAUUCUCUGGCAAAAUGAAGGUCUGAUUCUAUUUAUUCUAAAGACAGAGUUGGAGAUGGGCUACCAUUGGUGUUGAUUGAGAUGACAAGCAGUCACCUGAGCCCAUACAGCUGAGAUCCUGAGUUCAAUUCCCAGCAACCACAUGGUGGCUCACAAACAUCUGUAAUGAGAUCAGGUGCCCUCUUCUGGUGCCUUUGAAGACAAAGACAGUGUAGUGUCAUAUAUAUAAAAUAAAUAAAUCUUUAGAAAUUUGAAAA